This is a long non-coding RNA of Corvus hawaiiensis (hawaiian crow), 8672 nucleotides long. RefSeq lists it as uncharacterized. The record is from RefSeq and is a predicted model, not a curated record. The transcript has 2 exons. Lineage: Eukaryota; Metazoa; Chordata; Aves; Passeriformes; Corvidae.
UCAGUGGGGACCUCAUGGCUCUGCACAACUCCCUGACAGGAGGGGGCAGCUGGUGAGGGGGGUGGUCAGGCUCUGCUUCCAAGUAAUAAGCGACAGGAUGAGGAGAAACAGCCUCAAGUUGUACCAGGGGAGGUUUAGGUUGGAUAUUAGGAAGAAUUUCCUCCCAGAAAAGGUUGAAAACCAUUGGAACAGGCUGUCCAGGGAGGUGAUGGAGUAAACAUCCUUGGAGGGAUUUAAAAGGACACGUAGAUGUCACACAUGGGGAUAUGGUUUAGUGUUGGCCUUAGCCAUGCUGGGUUAAUGCUUGACUUGAUGAUCCUUAAGGUCUGUUCCAACCUAAACCAUUCUUUAAUGUCAGAAGCACUGGAAGUAUUUAUUAGCAUUUGCUGAAAUCGUGCUGCUUUCCACUUGUUCCGUCUUUUUUUGCUCAAGAUGUGAAGCAGUUUAAAGUAGCAUACACUUCAUAACUGAGAACUUUGGCAUUUUGGAGAUGUUACAAUACAUAAGAAUAGAAUCUUUUCAGAGGAGUCUUUUCAUUGAUGUGCCAAUUUUUAGAAUAAACUAUUUUUACAAAAUCAGACUAUUUUCUUUAGAGAGUACUGCUUUGAAGAGUAUUGUUCAGCAAAGAGGGGUUAGGUUAAUCUUUGUGCAGGGAUGCCAAAGAGAAUGUGGAGGGAGAUCUGAUUUGAAAAGGCAAAGUUCUAGUUCCAGGUACAUCUCUAAAUUUGGAAAGCUGUCACCAGUGCUGUGCUUAGAGAAAAGAAAAAUAAAAGUACCAAAGAAAUUUCUUGUGCCUAUCUAGUCACAUUUCCAUGGUGAUGACCAACAGCAUUGAACUCGGUUUGAAAUCCACCUUCAUUGCAAAUGUGCUAUACCUUGAAAGCUAAAAUUAGUAUUUUCUUUAACACUGAAGAAUUAAAACACCCCAGACUCUGGACAAAGUAGAAGUCCUAUUCCUUACAUGUUACACUGAAACAUAGUGUUCAGUUAUAAAUGCUUGGGGUAUUCACUUGGUGUCUCAUUUUUUUGUAGCUUGAUGUCAUGGAUUAACUUGAAGCUGCCAAUUAACUAGAUAACAAUCAGCUAGUUAUCAAGCAACACCAGCACAUGCUGCCUUUCCAUGUUUUUUUGAAGUUUUGGAUGUCUUUUUGAAUAGGUGUAAUUGUGUAUUUUAGAUCACACGAACCAUACAGAAUGGGAUUGUGGUAUGGAACCGUGUUGCACAUCUGUGAAAUUCUGCCUGAAAACUGGCUAUUCCUAGCCCAAGUCAAUGUGAAAAUAUGCUUAGACUAAGUUUUUAACAAGUUUACAAAUAGAGGGGAAAAUACAUUGUUUUGUAUUCAUUUUCAGAGUUAAAAGUAACACUAUUAAAAUUUUAAAAAUAUUUUCUUGUCUGAACACCUUAAAAGUAAUACACAACACACAAUACACAAAAAAAAUGUUUAUUGUUGUGAAACAGAACGUAAGUUAUGCCGACAGAAAUCCUGUUUUAUGCACCAUGAAAACAAAACUUUGUGUUUAAAGGUAUCAAAGGCUGCUGAAGAAUGGGUGCUCAAAAGAGCUCCAUACUGAAUAUCUACAUGCAAGUAUUCUGAGAACUACAUUUCGUAACACAGAAGAAGAUAACCAGUUGCUCAGGGUUUAACCUGUAUUCUGUAGGAGACAUUAAUACAGUGUGUCCAGGAUGCCUUAAAUAAACAAUUCCCAGCUUUCAUGCUCUAUCUCGGGUAAACUUCUUUGUGUGAGAAUUUUGUUAACUUCUUAUAACCGUUCUGGUAAAGUGUGUCAGAUUCAGCACAGCUGCACAGAUGAACUAGUUGUAUCUAAUUUUGUCAUUAACCUGGUAAAAUUAGAAGAAGCUGCCUUGUGCCUGUAUAAAAUAAGUUGUUCAGAAGUUGCUUUAUCAGCUCAAUUCUUGGGCUAGAAGGGCAUAUUCCUGAUUAAUCCAAUUGCUGUUCUGAAUAGUUUCUAUUAAGUACAACCAGUUUCUGUAAAAAGAAAAACCUUAAAAUUUGCUUCAGGAUCACAACUGAAGUUUCUUUAGACAAUAAAUGCUAUUUGCUUUCCUCUUCUGUUUUUUCUCCAUUUCAUUUCUUUGGAAAAAAGUGGAAAUAGGAGGGUGUCACACAAGCAGUACCAUCAUCUGAAAUGUGAUUCUUCAGUGUAUUAUUAGGCAAGACAUAGUUGUUCAAGAAUUCCAAACAUCUGUCUUCUGUAGGAAUCUGAAUCUGCUCAGCAUAAGGGCAGUGCUGAAAUCUAACAUCUUCCAACAGUCUAGACAGUGAAUGCAAGAUUUACUCAGAGUGAAUACUCUUAAUUUAUAAGGUGAUCCUCAUUUCUGAGGUCUAAGUGAAGUCUUAAAAUGAGUAGCAACAGAGAAACAGCAUUUGACACCAAGAUGGGAAUCAAAAAUGUGUUGUAAAUAGUAAUUUGCAUUUGUUCUGAUAAAACUGCUCUGUUAAGCAAUCAAAAGCCUUUUGUGAAAUGCAUGAAAUUGUUCAGCAAGGAAUAGAUAGUAAUAUGAAGGCUGACAGAGAAAUACAUUAAUAUUCCCAAGCAAGAACAGCCUAUUACACACUGAUCUGCCAGUGGGCUUUAUCUACAGUCGGGAAGUAGAAUAUGGUGAUCAAAAUGACAUCCCAAAUAAAAACUGCUGCAAUCUAGUGUGAUAAAUAGUUUAUGCACAACAACCUGCAGCUGGGCUGCAUGACCCCAGGUGUUGAUAAGUGCUGGUGGGUGAGAGGCUGGACACAGCCAGCCUCCAGCCAAACGUCCUGAGCUCAUCCCAUAGCUCAUGGGCAGCAAGGAAAGAGGGAUUCUGCCCCUCUGCUGUGCUCACGUGAGACCCCACCUGCAGAGCUGCCUCCAGCUGUGGGGUCCCCAGUGCAGGAAAGACAUGGACCUGUUGGAACGAGUCACCAAAAUGGUUAAAGGGCUGGAGCACCUCUCCUAUGGAGAUCGGUUGAGAGAAUUGGAGCCUCGGGAGAUCUCAUAGCAGCAUUGCAAUACCUAAAGGGGGCUUAUAAGAAAGAUGGGAACAGACCUUUUAGCAGGGCUGUAGUGAUAGGACAAGGGGUAAUGGUUUUAAGCUGAAGAAGGGUUGAAUCAGACAGUAUUAGGAAGAAGUUAUGUUGAGGGUGGUGAAACACUGAAGCAGGUUGCCUAGAGAGGUGGUCGGUGCCCUGUCCCUGGAAACAUUCAAGAUCAGGUUGGAUGAGGUGCUGAUCUAGUCAAAAAUGUCCCUGCUUAUUGCACGUGAGUUGGACUAGAUGGCCUUUAAAGGUCCCUUCCAACCCAAACUAUUCUGUGAUUCUUUGAUUCUAUGAAGAAAGGCUUCUUCAGUGUUGUUGAAGCACAUUAUCAGGGGGGUUGAGGCAGCCUUACAGGAAGCUGAUACUGCCAGUGCCAUGUAGUUCUUUUGAACGGAACUAAAGGGCAAAAAAGGAAGAAACAUGCAUCUAAAAGAAAGAAAUAUGCGUCUACUCUGUUGUCUUUGGCUGAAAUUUUAUCAAGCUCUCUGGCACAUUUUUCUGCAAUAAAUUAGAUAAAAAUUUUUCUAGUUGUAGUCAUUUCAAUCAGAGUCACCUUUAGCUUGGUCAAAUUUUCUCCUCCCCCUUAAAAGAAGAGUGUUAUCAGACAGUUGAAUGUCAAGGCUAGGUUAGAUGGAUUUGGUUUUUAAGUUGGACUUUUUCACGGCCAAAUUUGGAAUAAAACUACUGGAAGAUACUUUGAUCUAAAGCUUUUUGGCACACAUUCUGUUUUCUGAACAUAAUACCCAUUUAUGGUCGUAGGGUGUUUAGGAAUUACGUGGAAGUAUUUUUGAGUGUCUUUCAGUGGAAUUUGAGAAUACCUUUAAGGCACUUAACAAGUAGAUUACACUGAGCAAGAUGAAGAUACAAACUUAUGUGGUUCUAUUGUCAUAGCAGAAAAAUCCAAGGUGAAGAAAUUAGUUUUAUUUUGAAGAGAGUACAGUUUCAUGGCCACUGCUUUGUCACAUGAGUGACUUCUGCAGCUCAAAUAUUGUUUGUGUGAAAACUUUGCUCUUUUUACUUACUGCUAUCCAUCAUGCACCAAAGCCUGGUUCUGACUUUCCCAAAGUGAGCUGUUUUCCUGCAAAGGGAGGCAGUUGUUCUCUGGUGUUUGCUUUCUAGCUCCAGGAGGCUUAAAACAGCAGGGGAGAGAGAGGCUGAGUGCUUUAUUUGAAAUUUUCAGGCUGAGCCGAGGGAAAGAGCGUGGGAGCGAGACCCAUCUCUUUGGGCAGCUGGGGCGUGUUCUUUGGCUGCAGUCCAAUUACCCAAUGUAAUUUUAGUUGCCUUUAAUUCAGUAUACCAGGUGAAUGUUAAGGAAAACUCUCCUGUCUGAUCAUUCAGAUGCUUCUCUGGGAGUCACACUCAUUCUACCCAAGACUUUUAACUGCUGGAACUGAAGCAAUGUUGGAAUUUGGAAUCAAGUAACUAAUGUUCCAAUCAUUUGGGUAUCUUCUCCUGCAACUAGUACACAUGUGCUUUAUAUUUAUCCUGGAUGUUAUGGAUUAAAAAGUUCAGGAUCAGGUUCGAUUCUUCUGAAACCCUCUCUCCAAAGUGUGAUCCAGAUGUCUUGUAGCUGGCUGAUGUUUAGAACUGUCUUGCCAAAAGAAUGGUUCCUUAGAAAUCAAAUGUGUUGAUGAUUUUUUCCUUCCCUUAUCAUUACCUAAAUCUCCUGCUUAUAUCAGACUGAAGUUUUGUUUGAGUACGUUUGGCAGGAGUUGGAUCAUAACUGAGUUUAGAAGAAGCUGGAACACAAGGGCUGUUAAAAAACCAAAGUUUCAAGGCUGGUGUCUAUUAAGCAAGAAGAUACAGAUGCUAAAGAAUUUACCAAAAUCCAAUAAAAAAUUAGUGCUAAUACUUCAGGAAAGCAGUGAAUUUUCAGAAAACAAAUGCAGGCAUUGGUAUUGAGAGUAUCUGCUGUAUACAGACACAGGAACCAAGUUUCCAAGUUGUGCAUUGAUGUGAUGGUGGUCUUAUCCUCAAAUGCAAACAGAAUGGAGCACAAGGUUAAUGAGCUUCAGACCAAGCUGAAGCAGGAACACAGGGACUCAGGACAAAGUAGAGUAACUCCUGGGAAUGCUGUGCAGCAUCUUAUUACAUAUUAUAGCAAGAGGAGGGAACCCAGACUGCUGUCAAAAAUUAACUGGGAAUAUGGUUCUAACACCAGUACAGCCUUAUUGUUGCUGACCUGAGAGAUGACAUGCUGCAUUCUUGAGUCUGUACCUGGUCUGUAUGGAUGUCUAUGAAAUCAGAGCAUCAAUACUGUAAGAAAAAGCAAUGAUUAAGAAGGUCAAGCUGGGUAAGACCCCUGGGGAUACGUUUGCAGCAUGAACUACAAGAUUGUGAUCAGGCAUUUCAAGUUAUUAAAGAGAAUGUGCUUCUGAUACCUUUAAACAGUGCUGAUUUUUAAUUUUCUUUUUUUACCCAGGGUGAAACAAUGUGAAGAAGAGUGGGGUCUGAGCACUUCAUUAAUGGCAGAAAAAAAAAUAAAUGAGGGUGUUGAAAAUUAUUCUCCUGGUAAAAUGCAUCUUGGCUUUUAGGCAUGCAGUAAAAUAGUCAUGUCAAGCAACACAGAACUUAACAACCUCUAGUGUGGGCUUCUUACUGCUCAUCCAGGGGCAUCAGACCAGUGAAUGUGCUAGAUCUUCUUUAUUCUGAAAGGAAAGAACAAAAAAGUUCUUUUUUGAAUAAAAUUUUUGGGUUGGCUUUGCCACAGAGAGUGACUGACUCAGUAGGUCAAGACUGUUGGCUAAAGACAAGCAGAAGAAAGAGGAGAACACUGCCCAUCACAAAGUCUGUAAAAUCAACUCGACCCUGAUGCAUGUGGAACAAUUUUUGUGUAGUAGAGCAGUGUCGAAUGAAACUGACCCUGUCACACGGGGAAAGGCGCUGACAGUCUUUUUGGGAAAUUACAUCUGGAUCACGAAGGAUUGGCUUCACCCACCUUCCAUGACCAUAGCAUCUUCCCUACCAGGAAAACAAAAGGCUCCUGGGUUGGAGAGGCCGUUGGGCUGAUGCUGUAUUGCAGCAGCAGUGUUUAUAUUUGCUUCUGAAAGGUGGGCAUUUGUUUUGUUAGUGUGUCCUGUCUUAUAAAACAAAAGUCCUUCUCUUGCCUCUGUGCAGUUCAUUAUUUGUAGAAUGCUUUCAGGAGCCCAGAUGAAGGGGUAUUUUAGAUGCAUUAAUUAUUAGUGUUAAGCACAGCUGCUUUGUCUGAGGGCGUUCUUCCAGCUGAAAAUGGGUUUGACUGCAAGGAAAUGUAUUUCCAAGAAGACUGUAUUGGUUUUUAGUCUGGGAAGCAGAGAAAGCAAAUAAAGCUAUUUUGUUAAAAAAAAAAAAAAAUUCAGGGGUGAAAAUUAUUUCCCCCAUUAUUUUAAUUGGAUGUAUUAUUGCUUAUGAAAAACUGUUAUUUAAUUCAUCAUGGGGAAAUGGUCAAACACUUUAACAAAAUGAAUAGUUAUUGGAAAAAAGUAAUUUCCUCAGUUACUUUCAAUCCAUUUGCUUAGGUAUGGACAUGAAAUUUUCUUUGAAGCUGUCAUUCAGAAAGCAGACUUUGAGUUUAAUGAAGAGUUUCAGCAAAUACCUGCUUUGUGUGUAAAAAGCACUCACUUUUUUUUCUGGCAAGACAAUUUUUCUUUAAGGCUCAUCAUACUACAGUUGGAAAUUUUCUGUGAUUUUGUUUGCUUUCAAAACAGGGGUUUGAAAGCUUGGAUGGUGGGGAGAGAAAUUCUUAUCUAUCAGGUUGUGAUCAUGUAUUAAUAUUACUGAUGACUUGCCUUACUGUUUAGGUUGCAGACAAGAGUUUUAUUUCUAUACUCUGAUCAUAAAAGAGGUUUUAGUAUUUUCUGAUAUCAGCCACAUUAAAAUAAACAUUGUUCUCCUGUUGGAGGGCCUCAAAAAGCUUCAGUCUGAAAAAAAAGAAUUUUUUAAUCUUAUUUACAACAGUCACAUCCUUUUUGCUUUCUAGUGUUAAGCUGAUGCUAAAAGUACCUUUUAAAGCCUAUCACAUAAGUGCAAUUAAUAGGGAGAGGUUAUUGAUUCUUAAAAAAACUUGUAGGAACUAGGAACUUAUGCCAUUGAGCUUCUCAUUUUUUAAGAACAGAGCAUCUCAAGCAAGUGGGGAAAGCCACUUUGUUUGUCUGGCUUGUGCUUGGUGUUAUGGAAACACAAACACUCUUGAAAAACAAAGCAAUACAGGAAGUGUUGAAAUAGGCACGGGUGCAGUGCUAAGCUUCUGCUUCAGCAACGAGGGGGAACAUCAGCAGGGAAAUUUUGUUAUUCUUUGGUCCUUGGUGCCCCACUCAAGGGUAUUACCUGAUGGUUCUCAGGGCUGUGACUUGUGUGAUAGGAAAAGCUGUAGAACCUGGUAAAUGUCUUCCUUGGAGUCAUGGCUGGGAGCUGUGUUUAGCAUUAGCUGAGCAACAGAUUGGCCUGGAUAUGGACAGUGAAAAGCCAUGGGUCACUCUGCACUGCUCUCUUGGAUCUAAUUAGAGCACCUUACAUGUUGUUACAUUUGUCUUGUAAUGUUUACCAAAUCUGUGAAGAUUGAACUAUACAAUUGGAUCUGAUGAUCUUAAAGGUCUUUUCCAACAUAAAUGAUUCUAACAGAGUAAAAACCUCUCCUUUUUUUGCUUGGUGUUACUGUGCCUCAUAUUAUUGUGGCUAGUGGGUGGGUGUGCAGAAGUUUUCACACAGCCAAUAAAUGCAGGACAGUUCAGCACAAAGAGCACUCCAAGGUAACCUGUGAAAUGGCCUGAAUGCUGUUGUCUGGAGAGCUUGAUGUAAGCAGUUCUGCCAUCUGCCAGAACUCUUUGCCAAAUUAAUUACAGAUCAACUGUGAGAAAGUUCGAAUGACCAUUACCAACCAUGGUGGCAUUCCCCUAGCAAAAAUAUUGUCCCCAUGUGCCCCAAAAACAUUUAAGGUGUAUUGUAAGUAGAAAGAUUGGAAAAUGCAGAUCCUGUUUCCAGUUCUCUGUGUUUAGGCAUUGGCAGUGCAUAGAUGCAUCUAUGCUCAUUUAAAGCUUUGGCCUGAGCACUUAACAGAGGAUGCUUGGAAAGAUGCUGAACACAUUUAAUGUUUCAUUCCCCUUGGAUGUGCAAAUUUCCAAAGCUGCUGUGAUAAUCUUGGCCUGGAGAUCCAGCAUGGAGCACACUGUCUGCGGGACUGUGUGCCCUUGGCUCACAGUCAGGUGAGAAGAGGUGCUGGCUUCUGGGUUUGCAUGUGCUUCUGCUUUUAGAAACAAUUUGGGGAAGUGGAAGAACAGUUCUGCAGAGCCAUUACAGUCUCUUCUGUACAUGAUGUUUGGGCACAUUUUAGAGCCUUUAUUUCCUCAGCCAUGAAAUCUUCUUUGAGCGGUUGCAUUCUGUCUUGUAAGUACUCUAGUCAAGGCUUUUCCAGCAUGUGUUUACAAGCCUCUGUGGGUGUGCUUGCCAUAGUAAUUCCUGGCUACACUUUAUUGUGAACGUCUUGAUACUCACAGGGUUUGGAGAGAGAAGCAGCAUUCCAAGUGGGAAAUGACAUCCACAGUUCCCAGUGGCAUGGACCAAAGCCAAAUGCCUAAGCCUUCUUUAGAAUGUCUUCCUCUUUGUAAGGCGUGUGCAUUCUUAGUAUUUUCUCUGUUCGUAAUAAAGUUGUGCUACUUCCAUCAA